GAUGAACGCUGGCGGCGUGCCUAAUACAUGCCAGUCGAGCGAACGGACGAGAAGCUUGCUUCUCUGAUGUUAGCGGCGGACGGGUGAGUAGCACGUGGAUAACCUACCUAUAAGACUGGGAUAACUUCGGGAAACCGGAGCUAAUACCGGAUGAUAUUUUGAACCGCAUGGUUCAAAAGUGAAAGACGGUCUUGCUGUCACUUAUAGAUGGAUCCGCGCUGCAUUAGCUAGUUGGUAAGGUAACGGCUUACCAAGGCAACGAUGCAUAGCCGACCUGAGAGGGUGAUCGGCCACACUGGAACUGAGACACGGUCCAGACUCCUACGGGAGGCAGCAGUAGGGAAUCUUCCGCAAUGGGCGAAAGCCUGACGGAGCAACGCCGCGUGAGUGAUGAAGGUCUUCGGAUCGUAAAACUCUGUUAUUAGGGAAGAACAUAUGUGUAAGUAACUGUGCACAUCUUGACGGUACCUAAUCAGAAAGCCACGGCUAACUACGUG
Molecule: ribosomal RNA, 497 nt
Filed under: uncultured bacterium
Lineage: Bacteria
Description: partial 16S ribosomal RNA
Rfam family: Bacterial small subunit ribosomal RNA
Source: RNAcentral